This 66-nucleotide transfer RNA is filed under the name Dissostichus eleginoides (Patagonian toothfish). RNAcentral describes it as "tRNA-Lys". Lineage: Eukaryota; Metazoa; Chordata; Actinopteri; Perciformes; Nototheniidae. The record is from RNAcentral.
GUUCCUGUAGUUCAACAACGAUGGCUUUUUAGGCCACCAAUCCCGGUUAAAGUCCUGGCAAGAGUU